UAAAUAUCAAUUUAAAAAAUGCUAUCUUAUACGCUUAAUUAUUAACAAAGAAAACGUAAUUUGAACCAAUGUUUCUGAUGUGAAAUCCAUUACUAUUAUGAAGGUAAAUCCUACCAUACGUCUCAAGAGCUCAAGAGGUGGGCACUCUUUUAACUUGGCCAUGCAUGUAAACUCUCCGACUAGGAUUUCUCAAUUGUCAUUUAGUACUAUUGAUUAUAUUUGCUCAAAUUUCUCUAGCUAAAAGAUAGGCUAUAGUGUAGAAGCCACAAGCAUAUCGGACCUUGAUGCAAUGUUAUAUAACAUCUUUGAUAUUUACAAUCAAAAUAAACCUAUAUCACUUAAUGAAAUUUUAACCGAUUUCAAGAGCUGAAUAGGUCAAUCGAUAAAAACAUUUCAUCUAAUGUGUCCAAACCGUGGUACAUCUAUUUAGUGUAACUUUGCCAAUUAAUAAAUUAAAAUCUAAAACUGAGUAUUGUAACGAUAUUGUAAACACUGAGAAACCAGUUGACAGAAUGACAUAAGUGGUACACCGCACGACAUCUACAAGGUUAAGCGAGAAUCUUCCAAAACAGCGUUCUGCCGAGUAUACAUGGAGCCGCAUCGCCGAUAGUCAAGGGUAUAAAGGUUGAAAAUGGCGAGGCGGUAUAGUCUGCCACCCAAGAUGGUUCGAUUGAUUCUGAUUGAACAAUAAUAAUGUAAACGACACUUCACCUGUCGUAUUUUAUGACUUUUUUAGCAGUGUUUGAAAAACAAGCCAAGCAUCAUAACUUUCUUCUCAUUUAAAGUUUUAAAUAAAUUUUAUAGCAUUU
This is a long non-coding RNA of Anthonomus grandis grandis, 809 nucleotides long. RefSeq lists it as uncharacterized. The transcript has 2 exons. NCBI's taxonomy places the organism in Eukaryota, Metazoa, Arthropoda, Insecta, Coleoptera, Curculionidae. The record is from RefSeq and is a predicted model, not a curated record.